GAUGAAGAACGCAGCGAAAUGCGAUAAGUAGUGUGAAUUGCAGAAUUCAGUGAAUCAUCGAAUCUUUGAACGCACAUUGCGCCCUUUGGUAUUCCAAAGGGCAUGCCUGUUCGAGCGUCAUUUGUACCCUCAAGCUUUGCUUGGUGUUGGGCGUCUUGUCUCUAGCUUUGCUGGAGACUCGCCUUAAAGUAAUUGGCAGCCGGCCUACUGGUUUCGGAGCGCAGCACAAGUCGCACUCUCUAUCAGCAAAGGUCUAGCAUCCAUUAAGCCUUUUUUUCAACUUUUGACCUCGUAUCAGGUAGGGAUACCCGCUGAACUUAAGCAUAUCAAUAAGCGGAGGA
This 341-nucleotide unclassified non-coding RNA is filed under the name soil metagenome. Its description in RNAcentral is "partial contains 5.8S ribosomal RNA, internal transcribed spacer 2, and large subunit ribosomal RNA". The stretch from base 1 to 120 matches the Rfam family "5.8S ribosomal RNA", at positions 35 to 154 of the family's 154-position model. The record is from RNAcentral.